UACGUAGGUGGCAAGCGUUGUCCGGAUUUAUUGGGUUUAAAGGGUGCGUAGGCGGUCUUUUAAGUCAGUGCUGAAAUAUCCCGGCUUAACCGGGAGGGUGGCAUUGAUACUGAAGGACUUGAGUUCAGUCGAGGUAGGCGGAAUUGACGGUGUAGCGGUGAAAUGCUUAGAUAUCGUCAAGAACACCGAUAGUGUAGACAGCUUACUAGGCUGAAACUGACGCUGAGGCACGAAAGUGUGGGGGAUCAAACAGG
RNAcentral lists this ribosomal RNA (254 nucleotides) under uncultured bacterium. RNAcentral's name for it is "partial 16S ribosomal RNA". It matches the Rfam family "Bacterial small subunit ribosomal RNA", at positions 524 to 776 of the family's 1533-position model. The record is from RNAcentral.